Molecule: ribosomal RNA, 251 nt
Filed under: uncultured bacterium
Lineage: Bacteria
Description: partial 16S ribosomal RNA
Rfam family: Bacterial small subunit ribosomal RNA
Source: RNAcentral
ACGUAGGUCCCGAGCGUUGUCCGGAUUUAUUGGGCGUAAAGCGAGCGCAGGUGGUUUAUUAAGUCUGGUGUAAAAGGCAGUGGCUCAACCAUUGUAUGCAUUGGAAACUGGUAGACUUGAGUGCAGGAGAGGAGAGUGGAAUUCCAUGUGUAGCGGUGAAAUGCGUAGAUAUAUGGAGGAACACCGGUGGCGAAAGCGGCUCUCUGGCCUGUAACUGACACUGAGGCUCGAAAGCGUGGGGAGCAAACAGG